Molecule: ribosomal RNA, 119 nt
Filed under: Aegilops tauschii subsp. strangulata
Lineage: Eukaryota; Viridiplantae; Streptophyta; Magnoliopsida; Poales; Poaceae
Source: RNAcentral
GGAUGCGAUCAUAGCAGCACUAAAGCACCGGAUCCCAUCAGAACUCCGAAGUUAAGCGUGCUUGGGCGAGAGUAGUACUAGGAUGCGUGACCUCCUGGGAAGUCCUCGUGUUGCAUUCC